UACGGAGGGUGCAAACGUUGCUCGGAAUUACUGGGCGUAAAGCGCGUGUAGGCGGGCCGGAAAGUCGGGCGUGAAAUCCCUGGGCUCAACCCAGGAACUGCACUCGAAACUUCCGGUCUAGAGUGGUGGAGAGGGAAGUGGAAUUCCUGGUGUAGAGGUGAAAUUCGUAGAUAUCAGGAGGAACACCAGUGGCGAAGGCGGCUUCCUGGACACCAACUGACGCUGAGACGCGAAAGCGUGGGGAGCAAACAGG
This 253-nucleotide ribosomal RNA is filed under the name uncultured bacterium. RNAcentral describes it as "partial 16S ribosomal RNA". It matches the Rfam family "Bacterial small subunit ribosomal RNA", at positions 524 to 776 of the family's 1533-position model. The record is from RNAcentral.